UGCAGUCGAACGGGUGUAGCAAUACACCAGUGGCAGACGGGUGAGUAACACGUGGGAACCUUCCUCGUUGUACGGGACAACUCAGGGAAACUUGAGCUAAUACCGUAUACGUCCGAGAGGAGAAAGAUUUAUCGCAAUGAGACGGGCCCGCGUCGGAUUAGCUAGUUGGUAGGGUAACGGCCUACCAAGGCGACGAUCCGUAACUGGUCUGAGAGGACGACCAGUCACACCGGAACUGAGACACGGUCCGGACUCCUACGGGAGGCAGCAGUGGGGAAUAUUGGACAAUGGGCGAAAGCCUGAUCCAGCGACGCCGCGUGGGUGAAGGAGGCCUGCGGGUUGUAAAGCCCUUUCAGUGGGGAAGAAAAGCCUCGAGCUAAUACCUCGGGGUCUUGACGUAACCCAUAGAAGAAGCACCGGCUAACUCUGUGCCAGCAGCCGCGGUAAUACAGAGGGUGCGAGCGUUAAUCGGAAUUACUGGGCGUAAGGCGCGCGUAGGCGGCUUUGCAAGUCGGGUGUGAAAUCCCCAGGCUUAACCUGGGAACUGCAUUCGAGACUGCAUUGCUAGAGUAUGGGAGAGGGAAGUGGAAUUUCCGGUGUAGCGGUGAAAUGCGUAGAUAUCGGAAGGAACAUCAGUGGCGAAAGCGACUUCCUGGACCAAUACUGACGCUCAUGUGCGAAAGCGUGGGGAGCAAACAGGAUUAGAUACCCUGGUAGUCCACGCCAUAAACGAUGAGAACUGGAUGUCGGGAGGGUCUGCCUCUCGGUGUCGUAGCUAACGCGUUAAGUUCUCCGCCUGGGGAGUACGGCCGCGAGGUUGAAACUCAAAUGAAUUGACGGGG
This 842-nucleotide ribosomal RNA is filed under the name uncultured Gammaproteobacteria bacterium. RNAcentral's name for it is "bacterial SSU rRNA". It matches the Rfam family "Bacterial small subunit ribosomal RNA", at positions 56 to 918 of the family's 1533-position model. The record is from RNAcentral. Lineage: Bacteria; Pseudomonadati; Pseudomonadota; Gammaproteobacteria.